UCAUGAUGUGAAAAAAAGCACUGCAACUUUCAGACAUUUAGUUUGCUCCUCUAUCCUUUAACAAUUAGUACUGUUUUGAGGGUGAGAAAGCGCUUAACAAUUCUCUAACCUUCUACACCAAAGAAUAUAUACAUAAAAUAUUUUUCUAUAUAGGAGCAAGCACCAUUUCAAGGGACACAAAACAGGCUAUUUCAGCAUCGCCUCUGCCUUCACAGCCCUUGCCGAUCAAGGUUGCUGACACAGCUGGACAUACACAGUGCCCUUGUGAGGGAGAGUCAGCAAGGUGAAAUUGACACAAAGGGUCGUUGUGCCUGCCCUGCCUGGGUGUUUUUUCAAAAUCUUGUGGAUAUGAAACUAUAGACGGUGUUGUGACCUCUGCUGCAGUGGCUUGGAAAUUCACUGGCAGCGGGCACAGAAAAAGAUAUGAAUUAUGAGAGAGAUUUGAUGUGAGAUUCUCCACUGCUGGCUUUGAAAAUGGAAGAGGCCUCACAUGGCAAGGACCUGAAGUAGCCUCUGGGAGCUAAGAGUGAUUGACCAUUGUCCUGUGGCCUCAAGAAAAUCAGGAGUUCAGUCUGCAACUACAAGGAGCUGAACGCUGCCAACAACCUCAAUGACACUGGAAGAACACACUGAACUCCAGAGAACACAGCCCAGGCCAAUACAUUGAUUUUAGCCGUGUGAAACCUAUUGUAGAUAACUCAGUUGUGCUGUGCUUAGACUUUUUUUUUUUUUUUUUUUUUGAGACGAAGUAUUGCUCUGUCGCCCAGGCUGGAGUGCAGUGACACGAUCUUGGCUCACUGCAACCUCCGCCUCCCGGGUUCAAACGAUUAUCCUGCCUCAGCCCCCUGUGUAGCUGGGAUUACAGGCACCCGCCACCAUGCCCGGCUAAUUUUUGUAUUUUUAGUAGAGACAGGGUUUCACCAUGUUGGCCAGGCUGGUUUCGAACUCCUGACCUCAAGUGACUGCCCGCCUUGGCCUCCCAAAGUGCUGGGAUUACAGGCGUGAGCCACCGCGUUCUGCCACUGUGCUCAGACUUCUGACAUAGAGAACUGCGAACUAAUAAAUGGCUUUUACAGCACUAAUUUUUUGUUAGUUUAUUACACAGCAAUAUAGAAAACUAAUAAAUAUCAAGUGAAAAUGAAUUGUUUGCUUCUAAGCACUUGAUUUAGAUAAAUCCUACAGGUUUGUUCAUGUAAUUAAAAAUAUGUGUAAUUUCCAUUGUAAGUUCUUUAUUCUUUUUUAGUGAUUACUCGAGAUGAUAGUAUGCAUUUUUAAACUGAUAUUGAUAACAUUCUUUACUAUUUCCUUGAUAAUGCUAAGCUCUUAGCAACUGCAUUCCACAUCCUUUUGUCUGUAUGCCAUUGUUGACAUGCAUUUUAAUUCUGUAUAUAUUUUAAAUACAGUAGCUAUAAUUAUUAUUUUUAUUUCACCAAUUAGCAUACAUUUAGAUAUUUCCAAAUCUUUAAGCAUUAUGUUAGUCUUCAGUUAUUUCUGCCUAUUAUUUGUUCAGUAUCAGCUUUCUUAGGAUAGGUUCUUAUUUACUAGUACUUAUUAGUAUUUUUUUUUGUUAGCAUAUUCUAAUAUUGUUUGAAUGGAAUAAAUUUUUUUACCUUCACUUUGAAAAUAUAUUUAUUUUCUAUAUAAUGAAUUAUCAUUUGGUAUAUUCUCUGUCAAUACUUUUAAAAUGUUAUUCCACUCUUUAUUUUUUCCAACAUAUCUGUUGACAGCUCCCAGUCUUCCUGCUUCUCCUUUAAAGGCACCUAUGUGUUUUCUCUGGCUCGUUUUAAAAUCCUUCCCUCCCCUCUUUCUUGAAAUUAUUAGCUUUUUUUUUUUUUUUUUUUUUUUUUUUAGCAGUCUAUCCCUCCUUCUUGGAAUUAUUAGUUUUAAACUGUUCUUUAAUAACUCUAAUGAAUUUUGAAAAAUUCCUGCCCCAAAUCCCUCUCAAUAUUGCCUCUGCAUCAUUCUUCCUUUCUUUUCUUCUACUGCAAAAAUAAUUACACAAAUGCUAUUUUUUAAUUAUUUUUUUAUUUUUUUAUUUUUUAGACGGAGUCUUGCUCACUCUGUCGCCCAGGCUGGAGUACAGUGGCGCCAUCUUGGCUCACUGCAAGCUCUGCCUCCUGGGUUCACGCCAUUCUCCUGCCUCAACCUCCCUAGUAGCAGGGACUACAGGUGCCUGCCACCAUGCCUGGCUAGUUUUUUGUAUUUUUAGUAGAGACGGGGUUUCACCAUGUCAGCCAGGAAGGUCACGAUCUCCUGACCUAGUGAUCCACCCACCUCAGCCUCCCAAAGUCCUGGGAUUACAGGUGUGAGUCACUGCGCCCGGCCAACAAAUGCUAUUUUUGCUUUGACCCUUUUCCUACUUAUAUUCAU
This 2370-nucleotide long non-coding RNA is filed under the name Homo sapiens (human). RNAcentral describes it as "HSALNT0205061". Lineage: Eukaryota; Metazoa; Chordata; Mammalia; Primates; Hominidae. The record is from RNAcentral.